AGAAGCAAGAUGGCGGCCCCCGUGGAUCUGGAGUUGAAGAAGGCCUUCACAGAGCUUCAAGCCAAAGUUAUUGACACUCAGCAGAAGGUGAAACUUGCAGACGUACAGAUUGAACAGCUGAACAGAACGAAAAAGCAUGCACAUCUUACAGAUACAGAGAUUAUGACUUUGGUAGAUGAGACUAACAUGUAUGAAGGUGUAGGAAGAAUGUUUAUUCUUCAGUCCAAGCAGGCAAUUCAUAAUCAGCUGUUAGAGAAACAGAAGAUAGCAGAAGAAAAAAUUAAAGAAUUGGAACAGAAAAAAUCCUAUCUGGAGCGGAGUGUGAAGGAAGCUGAGGACAAUAUCCGGGAGAUGCUGAUGGCGUGAAGGGCACAGUAGGCAGCCUCUCAGGAACCUCUUCUUUCUGAUUCCUGCCAUUCCUGGCGAGGAGCCUGUGCAGGGAAACUGCUCUGCCUGAGGGACAUUUUAUCUGGAUGGUCUAGUAAACUUAUG
Odocoileus virginianus texanus is the source of this 492-nucleotide non-coding RNA. The record is from RefSeq and is a predicted model, not a curated record. Lineage: Eukaryota; Metazoa; Chordata; Mammalia; Artiodactyla; Cervidae.